AUUUAAAUAAUUUAAAAAAAAAUAUUGAUUUGUGGAAUCAAAAAUAUGAGGUAUUUCAUUUUAAAUC
Molecule: transfer RNA, 67 nt
Filed under: Diaethria gabaza eupepla
Lineage: Eukaryota; Metazoa; Arthropoda; Insecta; Lepidoptera; Nymphalidae
Description: tRNA-His
Source: RNAcentral